UUGUGAUAUCCGGCGUAUAGCCUUCAGGACACAUGGAGCACAUUAGAAUACGACAAUAUAUAUACCUCUUUGUUUUAGCUAUAGCUUUUACAAAUAUUCAUUUUUACCAAACUUCUAUACCUGCACCUAAAACUAUGAAGGAAAGAGAAAAAUAUAAAUCAACUCCUUCCAGCACACAUAUAUACAAACAUAAAGUUACUACCACAGACAAAACGCCGGAUAUCACAAAGAAAGAGAACCUAGUUUUUCCCUUUUUACUCUUCCUUCACAAGCACCAUAAAUCCUUUAUACGGAUGUAGUUCUUGAGCUACUAAAGAUGGGAACUCCAGCAGAUAAAUUGAAGAGGAGAACACUACAACCAAGGAAAGAGAGUACUAGUUUCUGGAAGAUGGAAGUAAGUACUAAAGCCAGUCAGUAUCCAGAGCCUCUGCGAUGUAAACGCCCUGGAAGCUUCAUUCUUCGCAACCAUAGCCUCCACCACAUCUCCACAGUCCAGUCCAGCGUUUCUC
RNAcentral lists this unclassified non-coding RNA (509 nucleotides) under Hevea brasiliensis (rubber tree). The record is from RNAcentral. Lineage: Eukaryota; Viridiplantae; Streptophyta; Magnoliopsida; Malpighiales; Euphorbiaceae.